This 1203-nucleotide long non-coding RNA is filed under the name Pan troglodytes (chimpanzee). RNAcentral describes it as "lncRNA (ENSPTRG00000053620.1)". Lineage: Eukaryota; Metazoa; Chordata; Mammalia; Primates; Hominidae. The record is from RNAcentral.
CUGCAGAGUGUGAAAAUCUCAUCAGAUUAAGGAACACAAAGACAUCUUUUUCAUAUUUUGAAUGUAAAACUGUUUUGGAAACUGUUAUUUUUAGAAACAGUUAAAAACAUUGUUUCAUUAGUUUUUCAUGUAAAAUUGUAACAACCAGCAUGAAAUACCUGUCAUCACAGAAGCAUGGUAUAUUGGAUUCCGAAACAUAUUCUUUGUAAGUUUUAAUAUAUUUAUGUAUUAUUUAUACUUAAUUGUAACCCAUAAUGUACAGAUAUUAUUUUUCCUUCAACUCUUAAGAAUAUUCUUAAAUAAUAAAACUAAAAUUAAUGAAUUAUAAUUUUUGUUGGUUGGGAAAAAGACACACGUGACAGUGCAUCACUUCACCUCAUCACCUCAUCAUUUCAUCUCAUCAUUUCAUCUCAUCAUUUCAUCUCAUCAUUUUAUCUCAUCAUUUCAUCUUAUCCCAUCUCAUCUCAUCAUUUCAUAUCAUCUCAUCUCAUCAUUUCAUCAAAUCUCAUUUCAUGUCAUUUCCAUUUCAUUUUCAUUAUUUCAUUUCAUCAUUUCAUUUCACUAUUUCAUUUCAUUUCAUCUAAUUUCAUUUAUUUCAUUGUCAUUUCAUAUCAUCUCAUUUCAUGUCAUUUUUGAUAUCAUUUUUCAUAUCAUUUUUCAUCUCAUUUCAUCUCAAUUCAUCUCAUCAUUUCAUCUCAUCUCAUGAUUUCCUCCUUUCUUUUCAACAUUUCAUCUCAUUUCUUCUCAUCUCAUUUCAAUUUUAUUUCAUUAUUUCAUCUCAUUUCAUUAUUUCACCUAAUUUCAUUAUUUCAUCUCAUCUCAAUUCAUCUCAUCAUUUCAUCUCAUCUCAUGAUUUCCUCCUUUCUUUUCAACAUUUCAUCUCAUUUCUUCUCAUCUCAUUUCAAUUUUAUUUCAUUAUUUCAUCUCAUUUCAUUAUUUCACCUAAUUUCAUUAUUUCAUCUCAUCUCAUCUCAUCUCAAUUCAUCUCAUCUCAUUUCAUCUCAUCAUUUUUCAUCUCAUUUUUCAUCUCAUCAUUUAAUCUCAUUUCAUUUCAUUUCAUCAUUUCAGCUCAUCAUUUCAUGUCACAUCUCUUCAUUUCAUCAUUUCAACAUUUCAUUUCAUCUCAUCAUUUCAUUUCAUCUCAUCGUUUCAUCUCAUCUCACCUCAGCAUUUCAUCAUUUCAUCUCAUUUAUUUCAUCUCAU